ACGAUCAGUAGCUGGUCUGAGAGUGACGAUCAGCCACACUGGGACUGAGACACGGCCCAGACUCCUACGGGAGGCAGCAGUGGGGAAUUUUCCGCAAUGGGCGAAAGCCUGACGGAGCAAUACCGCGUGAGGGAGGAAGGCUCUUGGGUCGUAAUACCUCUUUUCUCAGGGAAGUAACACAAUGACGGUACCUCCCCUUGA
This 201-nucleotide ribosomal RNA is filed under the name Nostoc sp. ARC7. RNAcentral's name for it is "partial 16S ribosomal RNA". It matches the Rfam family "Bacterial small subunit ribosomal RNA", at positions 276 to 487 of the family's 1533-position model. The record is from RNAcentral. Lineage: Bacteria; Bacillati; Cyanobacteriota; Cyanophyceae; Nostocales; Nostocaceae.